This 253-nucleotide ribosomal RNA is filed under the name uncultured bacterium. Its description in RNAcentral is "partial 16S ribosomal RNA". It matches the Rfam family "Bacterial small subunit ribosomal RNA", at positions 524 to 776 of the family's 1533-position model. The record is from RNAcentral.
UACAGAGGGUGCAAGCGUUAAUCGGAAUUACUGGGAGUAAAGCGCGCGUAGGCCGUCGAGUAAGUCGGAUGUGAAAUCCCCGGGCUUAACCUGGGAAUUGCAUUCGAUACUGCUUGGCUAGAGUGUGGAAGAGGGAAGCGGAAUUUCCGGUGUAGCGGUGAAAUGCGUAGAGAUCGGAAGGAACACCAGUGGCGAAGGCGGCUUCCUGGUCCAACACUGACGAUGAGGCGCGAAAGAGUGGGGAGCAAACAGG